AUUGGAAUAAAAUUCAAAUUUUAAUAAGAGACUAGCACCAAAAGUGUAUUUACUUAAAUUGUGUACAUUUUAAAACAUUUCAAUGAAAUGUGUAUGCAUUUUGGUGGUCUAGGGAUGCAUGAAUAUAUGAAGAUUCUCAAACAGAUAUAGAGAACAUGAGAGAGAGAAAAGCUUCAAUUCAUGGGAAAGGGGCAGUGAGAUUACUUGAGUCACAAGCACAUGUACCUCAACUCAGUUUUAAUGUUUACGCAUGCAUUACAGGAUUGAGAGGAAGUGAUGGGUCCCGUUUGUAUGCAUCCUAUCCUAUCAAUCUCAUCUGCAUUCUUUCUUUCUAUGUACCGUUAGUUCCAAUUGUUGUCUAACGUUCAAUACCGUGACUCAUACAACAC
This 389-nucleotide long non-coding RNA is filed under the name Glycine max (soybean). Its description in RNAcentral is "long non-coding RNA (GMAX_LNC000894)". The record is from RNAcentral. Lineage: Eukaryota; Viridiplantae; Streptophyta; Magnoliopsida; Fabales; Fabaceae.